RNAcentral lists this ribosomal RNA (377 nucleotides) under uncultured bacterium. RNAcentral describes it as "bacterial SSU rRNA". It matches the Rfam family "Bacterial small subunit ribosomal RNA", at positions 521 to 896 of the family's 1533-position model. The record is from RNAcentral.
UAAAACGUAGGUGGCAAGCGUUAUCCGGAUUCACUGGGCGUAAAGCGCACGCAGGUGGCAGGGUAGGUAGGGCAUGAAAUCGCCUGGCUUAACUAGGCGAGGUUGUCCUAUACCGCUCCGCUUGAGGCUGGGAGAGGGAAGUGGAAUUGCCGGUGUAGUGGUGAAAUGCGUAGAGAUCGGCAGGAACACCAGUGGCGAAGGCGGCUUCCUGGCCCAGUCCUGACACUCAAGUGCGAAAGCUAGGGGAGCGAACGGGAUUAGAAACCCCGGUAGUCCUAGCCGUAAACGAUGAAGACUAGGUGUCGGGGGUAUUGACCCCCUCGGUGCCGAAGCCAACGCGUUAAGUCUUCCGCCUGGGGACUACGGCCGCAAGGUUA